RNAcentral lists this ribosomal RNA (270 nucleotides) under uncultured archaeon. RNAcentral describes it as "partial 16S ribosomal RNA". It matches the Rfam family "Archaeal small subunit ribosomal RNA", at positions 477 to 747 of the family's 1478-position model. The record is from RNAcentral.
CAGCACCUCAAGUGGUCAGGAUGAUUAUUGGGCCUAAAGCAUCCGUAGCCGGCGCUGUAAGUUUUCGGUUAAAUCUGUACGCUCAACGUACAGGCUGCCGGGAAUACUGCAGCGCUAGGGAGUGGGAGAGGUAGACGGUACUCGGUAGGAAGGGGUAAAAUCCUUUGAUCUAUUGACGACCACCUGUGGCGAAGGCGGUCUACCAGAACACGUCCGACGGUGAGGGAUGAAAGCUGGGGGAGCAAACCGGAUUAGAUACCCGCGUAGUCC